This 749-nucleotide ribosomal RNA is filed under the name Actinomycetales bacterium TLI022. RNAcentral's name for it is "bacterial SSU rRNA". It matches the Rfam family "Bacterial small subunit ribosomal RNA", at positions 99 to 860 of the family's 1533-position model. The record is from RNAcentral. Lineage: Bacteria; Bacillati; Actinomycetota; Actinomycetes; Actinomycetales.
CGAACGGGUGAGUAACACGUGGGCAAUCUGCCCUUCACUCUGGGACAAGCCCUGGAAACGGGGUCUAAUACCGGAUAUGAGCCUGGGAGGCAUCUCCCGGGUUGUAAAGCUCCGGCGGUGAAGGAUGAGCCCGCGGCCUAUCAGCUUGUUGGUGAGGUAAUGGCUCACCAAGGCGACGACGGGUAGCCGGCCUGAGAGGGCGACCGGCCACACUGGGACUGAGACACGGCCCAGACUCCUACGGGAGGCAGCAGUGGGGAAUAUUGCACAAUGGGCGAAAGCCUGAUGCAGCGACGCCGCGUGAGGGAUGACGGCCUUCGGGUUGUAAACCUCUUUCAGCAGGGAAGAAGCGAGAGUGACGGUACCUGCAGAAGAAGCGCCGGCUAACUACGUGCCAGCAGCCGCGGUAAUACGUAGGGCGCAAGCGUUGUCCGGAAUUAUUGGGCGUAAAGAGCUCGUAGGCGGCUUGUCACGUCGAUUGUGAAAGCCCGAGGCUUAACCUCGGGUCUGCAGUCGAUACGGGCUAGCUAGAGUGUGGUAGGGGAGAUCGGAAUUCCUGGUGUAGCGGUGAAAUGCGCAGAUAUCAGGAGGAACACCGGUGGCGAAGGCGGAUCUCUGGGCCAUUACUGACGCUGAGGAGCGAAAGCGUGGGGAGCGAACAGGAUUAGAUACCCUGGUAGUCCACGCCGUAAACGGUGGGAACUAGGUGUUGGCGACAUUCCACGUCGUCGGUGCCGCAGCUAACGCAU